GGAUUGAACGCUGGCGGCAUGCCUUACACAUGCAAGUCGAACGGUAGAGUAGCAAUACUCGAGAGUGGCGAACGGGUGAGUAAUAUAUCGGAACGUGCCCAGUCGUGGGAGAUAACGUAGAGAAAUUUACGCUAAUACCGCAUACGACCUAAGGAUGAAAGCGGGGGACUCGCAAGAGCCUCGCGCGAUUGGAGCGGCUGAUAUCAGAUUAGGUUGUUGGUGAGGUAAAAGCUCACCAAGCCGACGAUCUGUAGCUGGUUUGAGAGAACGACCAGCCACACUGGGACUGAGACACGGCCCAGACUCCUACGGGAGGCAGCAGUGGGAAUUUUGGACAAUGGGCGAAAGCCUGAUCCAGCAAUGCCGCGUGCAGGAAGAAGGCCUUCGGUGUAAACUGCUUUUGUACGGAACGAAAGUCUGCCCUAAUACGGCGGCCCAUGACGGUACGUAAGAAUAAGCACCGCUAACUACGUGCCAGCAGCCGCGGUAA
This 490-nucleotide ribosomal RNA is filed under the name uncultured soil bacterium. RNAcentral's name for it is "bacterial SSU rRNA". It matches the Rfam family "Bacterial small subunit ribosomal RNA", at positions 27 to 523 of the family's 1533-position model. The record is from RNAcentral.